UUAAUUAAUUUGCUCCACCGGCAGCCAAAAUUUAGCUAGCGAUUAGCAAACAGAAUUUAUACGUAUUCCUUGAACAAAAACUGACAUACAUAAGGGAAUUCAUAUAUAGAAGACCAAAUUAAGUAAUUAACCUAUUUUUGUAUGGAAAUUUUAACAUAUAUGCUAAACGGAAACAGUUUAUACAUAAGUAAACUUAAAGUACAUAUAUACUGAAAGGCAAUAGGUACUAAUUUGGGAUUCCAUCUAGAUACAGAAAAUACCUAGAAAAUUAGUUACAAAUCAGAACGAGCUUAGGUUUUGUGUAGUAUAUUCUAGCCCGUCACUUAUUUUAGGAUCAAAUAUAUAUUCAUCACCCUGGACCAGUAGUACGAAUUUCAUGUUGAUGAUCGAUGAUUAGAAAUGAUCGAUGGUGUCGCAUAACCACCAUCAUCUGGAGACGGAGUUGGUAAAAGGAUGUAAUAUUGUAGAUGAACAGGAAUCAUCCAACUUGCACUCAGUUCUUUGUUGCCGAUGACUUUGCGCAGUAAUGAUUCUCUCGUCACUGACAUAUAAUUAAACAGAUGUAUUAUCUUCAAUACUAAAGUUUAAUUCCUGACGUAAAAAAACAAAAGAAGAGGGGCCAUAUAUAUAGGUAGAUAUAUCAUAUAUAGUAGAAACAUCAUUGAAAUGUAACCAUGUAUUCGAUCGUAAACAUACAUGGAUGUGUAAAUUUACCUGCAGUUAGAGGCCUUGCUUGAGCAACACUGGUGGUGUAACUCCCAACGAUAGCAAACAUAACCAUAAGAAGGAACAAGAGGCAUCUCCUUGUUGAACAAGUCAUGUUGGUUAAUGAUAUUUGAGCCAAGUGCAAUUAAGCUAUUUAUAUAGAAAUACUACUUAUGGCAGGAAGUUUCAUUAAUUAAUCAAAUCCAAAAAUUAAGCUUGUAGCUAGCUAGCCAUGAUUAGGGUAUAGAUUAAUUUAUAAAGAAUUCCAGUUCAAAAUUUACAACUAUAUAUAGUCAAGUACUCGUUUUUCUUGAUGGACGACUUGUUUCACUAUCUGAUCGAUAUGCAUGGUAAUUAAGCAUGCAUGUUAGAAUUUUCAAUUUUGUCAUUUUCAGCAGGUCGUCGUCUCUUCUGCGUAGAAUACAUAGUAAAACCUUGAUAAUUUGAUAUUCGAUAAUUAAUUAAUAACCUCACUAAAAUAAUAAUUUUUUCCGGUCCCGAGUUGGAGACAACGUGCUAAAUUAAUAAUUCGUUAAAUUUAUAAGAUAAUACAAAUACAAGAAUUCACAUAGACCCUAAUGAAUAUAUAAAUUAAUAAUUCUUUAACACACAUAAUUAAUUAUUCAUUUAUGAAGAUUUCAUAAAGAAUGACUCAAUUGUGACUUGUUUCUUCUUGAAAAUUGAGUUCACCUUGAUUGCUUGAUCGUAUUUGAUAUCAUCCCUUGACUCACUCCCAGGUUGAACUUUUCUAAAACACACUGUUGCAUGCUUUUGAGUGCUGCAUGGAUUAUCUUUGAUGUACUCGCACAAUGCUUUAAGCAUUUUAUCCGUUAUCAUCAAUUUUUUUUACUCAUUAGAGAUGAGAAGCCAUUUUUGUGUUUCUAAUGUGAUAUGUGACUAUGGUUUUGUUUAUUUAAUGUUCAUCCAAUGAACUAACAUAGUACUUCCAAACCAACAUUGUACGUUGAAAAUGUUGUACAUCAAAUAAAGUAGCAUAUUGAAUAACGUAAUAAAUUCGACAAUAUAGACAUUGAACAAUGUACAACAAUAUUAUUUUUGUUGAAAAAAUAAAAAGUCAUAUUUAAAAAUUUAAUAAUAUUUUGAUAAAUUAAUAAGUUAUUAAAUAAUCGUUAAAUUAAUAAUUUAUUAAUUUAAAAAUUGAUUAAUACCUCACUAAUUAAUAAAUUUUACCGGUUCUGACUUUAUUAAUUGAAUUGAAAUUUGUUUAGUCCUUAUGGUUUGAAGUCGACAUCUGUUUAGUUCUUAUGGUUUUAUUUUAAUCUGAAUGGUCCUUAAAGUCACAAUUUUUCAUCCAAAUGGUGAUUUACGUCAAUUUUCUCAGUUAAAUUGCUGACGUGACUCAGGACCAUUUGGAUGAAAAAUUGUGACUUUAAGGAUCAUUUAAAUUAAAAUAAAACCACAAGAACUAAACAGAUUAAAAAUUAUGACUUUAAGGACCAUUCAGAUUAAAAUAAAACCAAAAAGACUAAACAGAUGUCGACUUCAAACCACAAAGACUAUACAGUAUUUUACCCUUAUGAAGGUUUUACUGUAUAUUGACACGGGUAUCUGAGAGUUAUCGAUCACAAAGGCUCGGGAGUAGUAAUGUUUAAUUAGGAAUAUAUAAUCCGAAACAUUAAUCUUCUAGAAUACAUGUAGGAUAUCAUGUUAGCUAAAGUCCUCAAGUCGUUGCCCUAAAAAACAAAUCUGCCGGCCACUUGAUAUAAUAUACAGAUAGAGCUACCAAGGUUUUGGCACAUUUCCGUUGCAGUUCAGUUGGGAAGAUCCUUCAUAAUUAGGUAGCAAAUGAGCACCGAGGUAGAAUGGGAAAAUGACACGAGGAAUCUUGUUAAUCUUCUUGUUUUUCGACAAUGAAUCUUGAUAAUCUUCACAUUGUACGUUGGUUUGGUAUGAUUCGCGUUUGGAUCAAAUCCAAUGCAAUUUACGGUAUCUGGUAAAAUGAUAAUGCAUAUGAAAUGAUGGAAAUAAGUUCAUCGCGCAUUUACUUUGUCCUCGACAGAGGCGGAACUGUGUUUGAGUCUGGGAGGGUUUAGACCCCUGCUAGCUUUUGCAUACCUCCUUCAUUAGCUAACUAAAUUACCUUAACAAUUACAAUUAUACUAUAUUUGAACCCCUAUUAGAUAACAUUUGGAAGAUUCUUUUUCUUUUGAUAUGAUAUUUUGGAUACUCUUUCUCUUUUAAUUUGAUAUUGGAACGAAUAAAUUCAUUUAAUCUUAACUUUGGUGCUUGAUUGAUAUUCAAACAUUGAAUUUUGAUCUAUAAAAAGCUCAAAAAACAUUACUUUAUGUUAAUAAUUUGUUCAUUUUACAUUUCAAUUUGAUGUUUACGAUGACAAAAAAUAAUUUUUAUAUUUAGACCCCUCGUAACUCUUAAUCCUGGCUCCGCCCCUGGUCCUCGAUACUCAGGAGAAUUAUUUCUGGCUCCCACAGUGGAGUCAAUCCCUCAUGUGUCCGAUCCCAACGAAACCCCCCUUGUGUAGGGUGGUUCCAGGAAGCAAGGAAUAAGUUAGGGAAACCUAACAUGUCAUGUUUUGAGGCGAACAUCUAUGGUUUAUUAAUUGGAAAUCAGAAACAACAAAAUUAGAACUUCCAUAUUCGAUAUAUGUUUCUUCUCAUUGGUGCAUGUUUUUAUUAUUUGUCCUUUCACUUCACUCACCAACUCCAUAGAAACUACAGUUAGUGGCGGAGCUAGAAUUUGAACCUUGGAGGGGGGGGGUCCAAACAUUAUAGCAUAAGUGUAUAUUAAAAUUUUAUAAAAAGUUAUCUGACUCGAUUUUUAAUUUGAUCAUCUUUAAAUGAAGCAAAAUUUUAUUGUAUACAUCUCAUAAACUUAUGCAACAUUAAAAACAUUAAAAGUGUAUGAAUGAAGAAAGUAGUAAUUUACGCAUCACUUAAUAUUUCAUAUUUUUUGUUUUGGUAAAUUCAUUAGUUUUCUUGUUUACUAAUUAAAAGAAAUCAAUUAUCUUAACAAUUUCGAUUGGUAAGACAUAAAGACCAAUUGAUUCUAUAAUUACAUUUCUUAAUAUAAUUGAUAGGUAGAAAAUUUUUUUUGUGGGGGGGGGGGGGGGAGGUUAAGAGAAAAUUACAUACAACGAACUAACCAAAUUUAAAAUACAAAAACCCACUUUCAUUAAUUUUUAUACAAUUUAGGACAUGAGCUAGCCCAAACCCAAAACUAAUAGCAUCAAGCCUGAUCCGGAUUUUACUUAUCAAAUGACCAUAAUGCCCUCACGUCCCCAUCUUUUCUCUUUCUCUCAUCAUCAUCAUCAACGAUUGAACAAAAAAUGAAGACAACGGCGACGGCGACGGCUAGACACUGACAAUGUGGGAUACCGACAAUGAACGUUGAUGAAGCUUGGAUGUGAACGGCGUCGUCGUCUCUUUGAUGACGCUCAGAUCCAUCCCGAUUCUUCUGACGCUCAGAUCCAUCCCGAUUCUUCCGACGCUCGGCCACAAUCUGAAUCGGGCCGAUCCAGAUACUCGACGACCACGACGACUGCUACUGAAUCAAAGCUCGAUCUCGUCUCGCCCAUUCCGAGGCCGACGAGUGCCACCGCCUAAUCCAACGGCAGCUCACUUCUCUCUACGCAUUCCUCCGUUUGGUUCCCGCAAUGAUUCUCUGAUUCUGACUACAUGUACUGCUUUUGUGCUUUUUCUUCGUUUAUUGCGGUGUUUUGGUUCGGAAAUUGAAGCUUCAAUUAAUAUUAGGAUCUGUGGAACUAGACGGGAUUUUGUUUUGCAUUGUGCUUUAGUAUUAGCAAUUGAUGGAUCUAGAUAAGUAUGAGUCAUACUACUGUCCAUUCGGUAGUAGCAGUUGCAUGCUAUUCAGUCGUCAGUAGUAGAAGGUUUUCAAUCGCGAUAGUAGCAGCUUCGGUAGUAGAAGGUUUUCAAUCGCGACUGUGCGGUUACCAAGAAUUGCCGAAUUUUUUUUUGCAAUAGCUCCGGUACUAGCACCUUCCUACACGGCAAUAGCACAUCUUCGGUCGACACGGCAGUACCACGUUUCUCGUUGACACGGCAGUAGCACGUCUGCGGUCGACACGGUAGUAGCACGUCUCUAGUCUCGACACGGCAGUAGCACGUCUCCGGUUGACACGGCAGUAGCACGUCUCCGGUCGACACGGCAGUAGCACGUCUCCGGUCGACACGGCAGUAGCACGUCUUACGUCGACACUGCAGUAGCACGUCUCACGUCGACACGGCAGUAGCACGUCUCAUGUCGACACGGCAGUAGCACGUCCACAAUAAUAGUAGAAUAUGUAAUGAAUGGUAGUUUGGUAAAAUAUGUAGUGACAGAUGAAAUGUGGACAUUAGUUUAUCCUAAUUUGUUAAUUUUUGUCCUUAAAUAUGUAAGAUACUAUGUAAAAGAUGUAUUUAUAAACUCAAAUUUGGCCAGUAACUAAUAAGUAGUUUAGUAGGGGCUUAAUGAUAUAAUUAAACAGAUUUUUAAUGAUAUUUAGCUAAUUAAGCACCUAAACUUCCGACUUUUGAAAAUCCAAGGGGGUUCAGACCCCUUCGAGCCUGAUAAAGCUCUGCCCCUGACUACAGUGUAUGCUAGAUUUAUUCCGUAGUAUAUGGAGUGCAGCGAAAUCUCUACCAGCCCAGUAUUCCAUCAUACUCUACCAAGAAAAGUAUCGAAUUGUGGAAGAACAAUUGAGGACGUGAUCCCUCGUCUCUCACUCUCUUGCUCCCUGAACUUGAUUACAAAGAUCCUUUCACUGUCCUCAGAAAUCAUAACGUUGUCUUUCUGACCUCAAAUGCCAGAAAUCCCCACUAACAAUAUUGAAUGUAGCAACAAAAGCUUUUGAGAGAGAAAUCGACCACACACAAAGAAAUCUGGAUAUUGGACUGCGUCUUCGUCGCCAUACUUGACCUAAGUCUUGGAUUCUCAAUAGUCUAUUAUAUUAAAAACUAAUUAAUAAAUGACAAGAGAAAAGAGACAAAAGACAAUUGACAAGAGAUGUUUUAGUUGUAUCAUAUGGACAUAUUUGUGAUUAUCUAAGUUAUAGUUUGAGAUUUUUUUUGUUCGAGAUCAUACGGUUUAAUAAAGUCUAACUUUGUAGGCCUAAAGAUUAAUCUGUGUGAGAGAUAUGUUAGAACAUAUACUUCAUCCAUCCUCCUGUUGAACCCUUUGACAUUUCAAGCUUAGUUUCUAUAGGUUGGGGCAAUCUAUAUAUAUUACACUUUUUGAAACAAGAUAUGCCCCUUCUGACACCAAAAUGGUUUUCAAUAUUAUUAAUCUCCUUCCAAAUCUUGUCUUGAUUUGGACAAGACUACUCCAGGUACAAAUUUGUCGACCACCCUUAUAUGCUCCCACCAAAGUAUCUACCCACUUAAUCAAUUGACACAUGUUUAUUUUAUUAUUAAGAAUAAAGUUAAACCAUUUGAAGAGACAUGUGUCAAUAGACUAAGAAGGUGAGCACUUUGGUGGGCAAAUAGAGGUGGUCGGAAAAUUUGUAUCCAACUACUCCACUCCAUGCCGACAAAAAAGCUUUUAUCCCCAUGUUUUUAUUUUUUUAAAUAUAUAUUUCAAAUUAAUGUAAGAGGAGGAAAGAAGUUUUUACCUGUCCCAAUUUGGACAGAUUUACUAGUCACGCUUCUAAUUUUAUUUGUAUCAUUUCAUUCUCUUGAAAUCCUUCCAUACAAGCAACAAGUCAAAACCUUCGUAUAAUUUAAUACUUGAAAUUAUGAGAGCUUUUUUUUUUUUUUUUUUUAAGAAAAAUUGAUUCGACUUGCUCAAUUUUGACCUCAAAAUUGCAGUAUCUCUCUUGGCUCUUAAAGAUGAAUUGGAAAUUUAUAUAUCUGACAUGCAGAGCCAAAAUCUGUUUAAAGAACUUAAAGAAAUUAUUAAGCUUGGAGAAAAAUGGUUGAGACACAAAAAGAGACUUGGUUUAUCCGGUAGUUUACUUUGCUCAUAACAUUAAUUGACGUUGAUUCUUCCAGUUGUAACUGUUGUCGUAGAAGGAGCAUUUUAGCCAUGAAAAUUAUAAAAAGUGAUUUGUGAAACCGAAUGGGAGACAUGUUAAUGAAUGACAACAUGAUUACAUAUAUCAAGAAACAUAUAUUUAAUGAUGUUGAUAAUGAAACCAUCAUGAAAAGAUUUCAAAAUAUGAGCGAUCAUCGUGGACAAUUAUAAUUGCUUUAAGGAGACUUACUCUACCUUUUCAAUUACUGAUGUAAUAAUUUAAAUUUUUUUAUGUCAUUCAAUGAAGAUUAUUCGUUUAGUAUUCUUGUUUAAACUCUGACCCUUCUAAUGAUAGUUCAUGGCUACGUCACUGUUGGCCACCAAGAAUAUAUUGGAUUUAACUCUAAUAAACGAUGGUGGGAUUCGAACCUAGGUAUAUGAGUUCCACACCUAGACCAUUAUGAACUCAAAUGCCUGUGGUGGUUAUCGUUUGGGAUUCUUCGAUUAUAUAUUUGUGUGAUUUACUAAUUUAUGUUGUCAAUUAAUUUGCGCCGCCGGCAGCUAAAAGCUAGCGAUUUGCAAACAAAAUUUGAACGAAUUCCUUGUACAAAAAUAACUGACAUGCCCGCAUAAGGAAAUUCAUAUAUAGAAGACCACAUUGAGUUGGAUGGAAAAUCUAACGUGAUAAUUAAGUGGAAACAGUUUAUACAUAAGUAAAUACACACAAUACAUACUGAAAGGCAGUGUAGGUACUAAUUUGGAAUUCAAUCUAGAUACAGAGAAUUAGUUACAAAUCAGAACGAGCUUAGAUUUUUUGUAGUAUAUUUUUGUCCUGCCGUUGCUUAUUUUAGGAUCAAAUAUUCGUCACCCUCAGUAGCUAGUACGAAUUCCAUGUUGAUGUUGACUAGAAAUGAUUGAUGGUGUCCAAACACCAGGAUCAACUGGAGUUGGAGUUGGUAAAAGGAUGGAAUGUUGUUGAUAUUCAGGGAUCCAACUUGCACUCAGUUCUUUGUUGCCAAUGACUGCGUAGUAAUGAUUCUCUCGUCACUGACAUAUAAUUAAACAGAUUUAUUAUCUUCAAUACUCAAGUUUAAUUCGUGACGUAAAAAAACGAAAGAAGAGGGGCCAUAUAUAUGUAGAUAUAUAGUAGAAACAUCAUUGAAAUGUAGAGGCCUGAAAUGUAACCAUGUAUUCGAUCGUAAGCGUAUAUGGAUGUGUAAUUUACCUGCAGUUAGAGGCCUUGCUUGAGCAACACUGGUGGUGUAACUCCCAACGAUAGCAAACAUAACCAUAAGAAGGAACAAGAGGCAUCUCCUUGUUGAACAAGUCAUGUUGUUUAAUGAUACUUGAGCCAAGUGCAAUUAAGCUAUUU
RNAcentral lists this long non-coding RNA (8002 nucleotides) under Fragaria vesca (wild strawberry). RNAcentral describes it as "long non-coding RNA (FVES_LNC003007)". The record is from RNAcentral. Lineage: Eukaryota; Viridiplantae; Streptophyta; Magnoliopsida; Rosales; Rosaceae.